UACGGGGGGGGUGCGAGCGUUGUCCGGAAUCACUGGGCGUAAAGGGCGCGUAGGUGGUUUGAUAAGGGUGUGGUGAAAGUCCGGGGGCUCAACCCCGGAUCUGCCGUGCCGACUGUCAAACUCGAGGACUGUAGAGGCAGACGGAAUUCCGGGUGUAGCGGUGGAAUGCGUAGAGAUCCGGAGGAAGACCGGUGGCGAAGGCGGUCUGC
This 209-nucleotide ribosomal RNA is filed under the name uncultured bacterium. RNAcentral describes it as "partial 16S ribosomal RNA". It matches the Rfam family "Bacterial small subunit ribosomal RNA", at positions 522 to 729 of the family's 1533-position model. The record is from RNAcentral.